CAGAGGGUGCAAGCGUUAAUCGGAUUUACUGGGCGUAAAGCGUGCGUAGGCGGUUUGCUAAGUCGGUUGUGGAAAUCCCUGGGCUUAACCUGGGAACUGCAGUCGAUACUGGCGGACUAGAGUACGGUAGAGGGUGGCGGAACUCCGGGUGUAGCGGUGAAAUGCGUAGAUAUCCGGAAGAACACCGAUGGCGAAGGCAACCACCUGGGCCUGUACUGACGCUGAGGUACGAAAGCGUGGGGAGCAAACAGGAUUAGAUACCCUGGUAGUCCACGCUGUAAACGAUGAGAACUUGACGUCGGUUCGCCUAGCGAAUCGGUGUCGUAGCUAACGCGAUAAGUUCUCCGCCUGGGGAGUACGGCCGCAAGGUUG
RNAcentral lists this ribosomal RNA (372 nucleotides) under uncultured organism. RNAcentral describes it as "bacterial SSU rRNA". It matches the Rfam family "Bacterial small subunit ribosomal RNA", at positions 526 to 896 of the family's 1533-position model. The record is from RNAcentral.